RNAcentral lists this ribosomal RNA (88 nucleotides) under Gemmiger formicilis. RNAcentral's name for it is "partial 23S ribosomal RNA". It matches the Rfam family "Bacterial large subunit ribosomal RNA", at positions 1 to 87 of the family's 2925-position model. Lineage: Bacteria; Bacillati; Bacillota; Clostridia; Eubacteriales; Oscillospiraceae. The record is from RNAcentral.
CGGUCAAGCUACAAAGGGCGCAAGGAGAAUGCCUUGGCACUGGGAGCCGAUGAAAGACGUGGUAAGCUGCGAUAAGCCUUGGGGAGGA